AACAAAGCAGCAGCCAACAUGAGAAACAACAGUUAAGUUUUUUUUUUGCCAUGGCGACUGCGACGCUUUGCUUUAGACUUUUAUUGCAGCUAACGUCAAAUGAACAGUUCAGUUUAGUCCGUUGGCUUUGAGUUAUUCGCCGCCGCACUUAUCGGGACUUGCACACUCAAAUUAUAUCUAAAUUAAAUAUAUUAUUCAGUUUUUUUUUUCUUUCUUCUCAUUUGCCACAAAGAUCAAAAGUUGCCAGUGAGAAAAACGAAAGAUCCAGGCAAACUGUGUGUAUUCAGACAGAUUAAUUGUGCACAAAUCGAAAGUAAAAGCGGCCGCGAAUUGAACACACGAGUUGAACAAGUUUAGCUCUCUGCAAAAAAAAAAUAAAUAAAUAAAGUAAAAGACAUACAUAAGUGCAAAGUGACAGUGUAAUGUCAAUGACAUCCACUAAAUCUCCAGAAUCUAACAAAAAUCGGUUUUGUAAGCGUCUCUCAGCUUGGCUCAACUGACAGAAGAGGCAAAAAUUAAAAUACUGCAA
Long non-coding RNA from Drosophila hydei, 529 nucleotides. RefSeq lists it as uncharacterized. Lineage: Eukaryota; Metazoa; Arthropoda; Insecta; Diptera; Drosophilidae. The record is from RefSeq and is a predicted model, not a curated record. The transcript is spliced from 2 exons.